UACGUAGGGGGCAAGCGUUGUCCGGAUUUAUUGGGCGUAAAGAGCGUGUAGGCGGCUUGGUAGGUCUCGCGUCAAAACCUGAGGCUCAACCUCAGUUCGCGUGGGAAACCACCUAGCUAGAGUCCGGAAGAGGAGAACGGAAUUCCCAGUGUAGCGGUGAAAUGCGCAGAUAUGGGAAGAACACCAGUGGCGAAGGCGGCUCUCUGGGACGGUACUGACGCUGAGACGCGAAAGCGUGGGGAGCGAACAGG
RNAcentral lists this ribosomal RNA (251 nucleotides) under uncultured bacterium. RNAcentral's name for it is "partial 16S ribosomal RNA". It matches the Rfam family "Bacterial small subunit ribosomal RNA", at positions 524 to 776 of the family's 1533-position model. The record is from RNAcentral.